AGCAGUAGCCACGGUAAUACGUAGGGUGCGAGCGUUAAUCGGAAUUACUGGGCGUAAAGCGUGCGCAGGCGGUUAUAUAAGACAGAUGUGAAAUCCCCGGGCUCAACCUGGGACCUGCAUUUGUGACUGUAUAGCUAGAGUACGGUAGAGGGGGAUGGAAUUCCGCGUGUAGCAGUGAAAUGCGUAGAUAUGCGGAGGAACACCGAUGGCGAAGGCAAUCCCCCGGACCUGUACUGACGCUCAUGCACGAAAGCGUGGGGAGCGAACAGGAUUAGAUACCCCCGUAGUCCCUGUCUCUUAUAC
RNAcentral lists this ribosomal RNA (303 nucleotides) under uncultured bacterium. RNAcentral's name for it is "partial 16S ribosomal RNA". It matches the Rfam family "Bacterial small subunit ribosomal RNA", at positions 507 to 807 of the family's 1533-position model. The record is from RNAcentral.